CCAGUCGGGGCACCAGAAGGCCGCGGGCCGCGCACGCCGCCUGCGUGCCACGGCGCCUGAGAAUGACGUCAGCUCCGCGACGGGAGAGGCCGCUGGCUGCUGAGCGGGGAGGCCGCCCGUCCUGCGCCGAGACCCGGCCACGUGCACCAUGACCAAGCUGGUGCAGUGGCUGUGCGGACUGGCCCUGCUGGGCACUGCCUGGGCCACCCUGGCCUUGGACCCCCUGGGCCUCCACCUCCCUCUGCCCUGCCAGCAGGUGCUCUGGCCGUUCCCCGUGUACCUGCUGGUGGCGUUCGGCUGCUACUCCCUGGCGACCAUUGGCUACCGCCUGGCUACGUUCAAUGACUGCGAGGCUGCGGCGAAGGAGCUCCAGGAGCAGAUCAGAGAGGCCCGAGCGGACCUGAGCCGGCGAGGGCUGAAGUUCUGACCCGCGGGGUGGGGAGGCUGCACCCCAGGGAGCUGGGCCGCUCACCUCACUUGGAUUAGCACAAUAAAGAAUCAGUGUAUGUA
Chelonia mydas (Green sea turtle) is the source of this 510-nucleotide RNA transcript. It is a transcript of the gene named dolichyl-phosphate mannosyltransferase subunit 3, regulatory, with no coding region annotated. The record is from RefSeq and is a predicted model, not a curated record. The transcript has 3 exons. NCBI's taxonomy places the organism in Eukaryota, Metazoa, Chordata, Testudines, Cheloniidae.